CAGCCGCCGCGGUAAUACGGAGGGGGCUAGCGUUGUUCGGAAUUACUGGGCGUAAAGCGCACGUAGGCGGCUUGGUAAGUUAGAGGUGAAAGCCCAGGGCUCAAACCUGGAAUUGCCUUUAAGACUGCCGAGCUAGUAGGUGAGAGAGGUGAGUGGAAUUCCGAGUGUAGAGGUGAAAUUCGUAGAUAUUCGGAAGAACACCAGUGGCGAAGGCGGCUCACUGGCUCAUUCUAGACGCUGAGGUGCGAAAGCGUGGGGAGCAAACAGGAUUAGAUACCCCCGUAGUCCCUGUCUCUUAUAC
RNAcentral lists this ribosomal RNA (301 nucleotides) under uncultured bacterium. RNAcentral describes it as "partial 16S ribosomal RNA". It matches the Rfam family "Bacterial small subunit ribosomal RNA", at positions 509 to 807 of the family's 1533-position model. The record is from RNAcentral.